GGCUGGUCCGAAGGUCGUGAACUAUCUCACUUGAUCAUUCUCAGUCAGUUACAGACUGGACUCCUUGUUCUACUAUUUUUCCCCUUCUCACUACUGCACUUGACUAGUCUAAG
RNAcentral lists this Y RNA (113 nucleotides) under Propithecus coquereli (Coquerel's sifaka). Its description in RNAcentral is "Y RNA (ENSPCOG00000005802.1)". It matches the Rfam family "Y RNA". Rfam says of the family: Y RNAs are components of the Ro ribonucleoprotein particle (Ro RNP), in association with Ro60 and La proteins. The Y RNAs and Ro60 and La proteins are well conserved, but the function of the Ro RNP is not known. The record is from Rfam by way of RNAcentral. Lineage: Eukaryota; Metazoa; Chordata; Mammalia; Primates; Indriidae.